Molecule: ribosomal RNA, 253 nt
Filed under: uncultured bacterium
Lineage: Bacteria
Description: partial 16S ribosomal RNA
Rfam family: Bacterial small subunit ribosomal RNA
Source: RNAcentral
UACGGAGGGUGCGAGCGUUGUCCGGAAUCACUGGGCGUAAAGGGCGCGUAGGCGGCCUGGUAAGGUGGUGGUGAAAGCCCGGGGCUCAACCCCGGGUCGGCCAUGACGACUGCCAGGCUGGAGCCCACUAGGGGCAGGCGGAAUUCCCGGUGUAGCGGUGAAAUGUGUAGAGAUCGGGAAGAACACCCGUGGCGAAGGCGGCUCUCUGGGACGGUACUGACGCUGAGACGCGAAAGCGUGGGGAGCGAACAGG